Molecule: ribosomal RNA, 1007 nt
Filed under: Microcella putealis
Lineage: Bacteria; Bacillati; Actinomycetota; Actinomycetes; Micrococcales; Microbacteriaceae
Description: bacterial SSU rRNA
Rfam family: Bacterial small subunit ribosomal RNA
Source: RNAcentral
GAGCUUGCUCUGGUGGAUUAGUGGCGAACGGGUGAGUAACACGUGAGUAACCUGCCCUUGACUCUGGGAUAAGCGUUGGAAACGACGUCUAAUACCGGAUACGAGCUGAGACCGCAUGGUCAUUAGCUGGAAAGAAUUUCGGUCAAGGAUGGACUCGCGGCCUAUCAGGUAGUUGGUGAGGUAACGGCUCACCAAGCCGACGACGGGUAGCCGGCCUGAGAGGGUGACCGGCCACACUGGGACUGAGACACGGCCCAGACUCCUACGGGAGGCAGCAGUGGGGAAUAUUGCACAAUGGGCGAAAGCCUGAUGCAGCAACGCCGCGUGAGGGACGACGGCCUUCGGGUUGUAAACCUCUUUUAGCAGGGAAGAAGCGAAAGUGACGGUACCUGCAGAAAAAGCACCGGCUAACUACGUGCCAGCAGCCGCGGUAAUACGUAGGGUGCAAGCGUUGUCCGGAAUUAUUGGGCGUAAAGAGCUCGUAGGCGGUUUGUCGCGUCUGCUGUGAAAACGCGAGGCUCAACCUCGCGCCUGCAGUGGGUACGGGCAAACUAGAGUGCGGUAGGGGAGAUUGGAAUUCCUGGUGUAGCGGUGGAAUGCGCAGAUAUCAGGAGGAACACCAAUGGCGAAGGCAGAUCUCUGGGCCGUAACUGACGCUGAGGAGCGAAAGCAUGGGGAGCGAACAGGAUUAGAUACCCUGGUAGUCCAUGCCGUAAACGUUGGGAACUAGAUGUAGGGACCAUUCCACGGUUUCUGUGUCGCAGCUAACGCAUUAAGUUCCCCGCCUGGGGAGUACGGUCGCAAGACUAAAACUCAAAGGAAUUGACGGGGGCCCGCACAAGCGGCGGAGCAUGCGGAUUAAUUCGAUGCAACGCGAAGAACCUUACCAAGGCUUGACAUAUAGAGGAAACGUGCAGAAAUGUACGCCCCGCAAGGUCUCUAUACAGGUGGUGCAUGGUUGUCGUCAGCUCGUGUCGUGAGAUGUUGGGUUAAGUCCCGCAACGAGG